GCCUCAGUAGCUCAGGGGACAGAGCAGCGGGUUUCUACCCCGUAGGUCGUGGGUUCGAAUCCUACCUGAGGCG
This 73-nucleotide transfer RNA is filed under the name Actinomycetota bacterium. RNAcentral describes it as "Actinobacteria bacterium tRNA-Arg". It matches the Rfam family "tRNA". From Rfam's summary of the family: Transfer RNA (tRNA) molecules are approximately 80 nucleotides in length. Their secondary structure includes four short double-helical elements and three loops (D, anti-codon, and T loops). Lineage: Bacteria; Bacillati; Actinomycetota. The record is from RNAcentral.